UGGUACUUUGUAGUGACAUAGUAUAUAAUGUUUAAAGGAGAAUUUAUUAUGUGUUCCUUUCAAAUGCUGAUGUUCUUUUUGGGCUGUUUAUCUGGUUGCUCGGCUAGUGUGGUACUGACUCAGAAAGAAGCAGAAAUCGGAACACCAGGGGCAUCCAUAACCCUGCAGUGUGCAGUGUCUGGAUACAACAUCAAUGAUCACCACAUGCACUGGAUCCGUCAGGCACGGGGAGCAGCACGGCUGGAAUGGUUAGCAGCUUUCAGGACAGGUUAUACAACAUACAUCUCACCUGCUGUAAAAGAUCGGAUGACUCCAUCUACCAGUGGUUCCACUGCCCAGCUGCAGGUUAACCAGCUGCAACUUGAGGACACAGCGGUGUAUUACUGUGCUAGAUAA
Non-coding RNA from Protopterus annectens (West African lungfish), 396 nucleotides. The record is from the annotation of a RefSeq genome assembly. Lineage: Eukaryota; Metazoa; Chordata; Ceratodontiformes; Protopteridae.